This 120-nucleotide ribosomal RNA is filed under the name Microcebus murinus (gray mouse lemur). Lineage: Eukaryota; Metazoa; Chordata; Mammalia; Primates; Cheirogaleidae. The record is from RNAcentral.
GUCUACAGCGAUACCCCCCUGAACGUGCCUGAUCUUGUCUGAUCUUGUGAAGCUAAGCAGGGUUGGGCCUGGUUAGUACUUGGAUGGGAGAUUGCUUGGGAAUACCAGAUGCUGUAGGCU